RNAcentral lists this non-coding RNA (45 nucleotides) under Schistosoma haematobium. Lineage: Eukaryota; Metazoa; Platyhelminthes; Trematoda; Strigeidida; Schistosomatidae. The record is from RNAcentral.
AUCCAGCUGACGAGUCCAAAAUAAGACGAAACGCUUUCCCUGUAU